CUCCAGACUCCUACGGGAGGCAGCAGUGGGGAAUAUUGCACAAUGGGGGAAACCCUGAUGCAGCGACGCCGCGUGAGCGAUGAAGUAUUUCGGUAUGUAAAGCUCUAUCAGCAGGGAAGAAGAUGACGGUACCUGACUAAGAAGCCCCGGCUAACUACGUGCCAGCAGCCGCGGUAAUACGUAGGGGGCAAGCGUUAUCCGGAUUUACUGGGUGUAAAGGGAGCGUAGACGGCGAUGCAAGCCAGAUGUGAAAGCCCGGGGCUCAACCCCGGGACUGCAUUUGGAACUGUGUGGCUGGAGUGUCGGAGAGGCAGGCGGAAUUCCUAGUGUAGCGGUGAAAUGCGUAGAUAUCAGGAGGAACACCGGCGGCGAAGGCGGCCUGCUGGACCGUGACUGACGUUGAGGCUCGAGAGCGUGGGGAGCAAACAGGAUUAGAUACCCUAGUA
Molecule: ribosomal RNA, 446 nt
Filed under: uncultured bacterium
Lineage: Bacteria
Description: bacterial SSU rRNA
Rfam family: Bacterial small subunit ribosomal RNA
Source: RNAcentral